UACGUAGGGGGCAAGCGUUGUCCGGAUUUAUUGGGCGUAAAGAGCGUGUAGGCGGCUUUACAGGUCCGUUGUGAAAACUCGAGGCUCAACCUCGAGACGCCGGUGGAAACCGUAAAGCUAGAGUCCGGAAGAGGAGAGUGGAAUUCCUGGUGUAGCGGUGAAAUGCGCAGAUAUCAGGAAGAACACCCGUGGCGAAGGCAGCCCCCUGGGCUAGCACUGACGCUCAGGCACGAAAGCGUGGGGAGCAAACAGG
Molecule: ribosomal RNA, 253 nt
Filed under: uncultured bacterium
Lineage: Bacteria
Description: partial 16S ribosomal RNA
Rfam family: Bacterial small subunit ribosomal RNA
Source: RNAcentral